CAUUAGUUAGCUUAAAUAUAAAGCAUUGAUUUUUUAAGUCAAUUAUAAAUUUUAUUUACUAAUGA
Molecule: transfer RNA, 65 nt
Filed under: Bethylidae gen. sp.
Lineage: Eukaryota; Metazoa; Arthropoda; Insecta; Hymenoptera; Bethylidae
Description: tRNA-Lys
Source: RNAcentral